This 85-nucleotide transfer RNA is filed under the name Felis catus (domestic cat). It matches the Rfam family "tRNA". From Rfam's summary of the family: Transfer RNA (tRNA) molecules are approximately 80 nucleotides in length. Lineage: Eukaryota; Metazoa; Chordata; Mammalia; Carnivora; Felidae. RNAcentral also lists the same sequence under 4 other names. The record is from Rfam by way of RNAcentral.
GCCUGGGUGGCUCAGUCGGUUGAGCAUCCGACUUCAGCUCAGGUCAUGAUCUUACGUUUAGUGAGUUCAAGCCCCACAUCAGGCU